GUAUCUUCGGAUAUGAGUAGAGCGGCGGACGGGUGAGUAACGCGUAGGAAUCUACCUAGUAGAAGGGGAUAGCCCGAGGAAACUCGGAUUAAUACCGUAUACCUCCUUCGGGAGAAAGAAGGCCUCUCAUUGAAGCUUUCGCUACUAGAUGAGCCUGCGUAAGAUUAGCUUGUUGGUGAGGUAAAGGCUCACCAAGGCAACGAUCUUUAGCGGGUCUGAGAGGACGAUCCGCCACAUUGGGACUGAGACACGGCCCAGACUCCUACGGGAGGCAGCAGUGGGGAAUAUUGGACAAUGGGCGCAAGCCUGAUCCAGCCAUACCGCGUGUGUGAAGAAGGCCCUAGGGUUGUAAAGCACUUUAAGUUGGGAAGAAAAGUUAUUGGCUAAUACCCAAUGACCGUGACAUUACCUUCAGAAUAAGGACCGGCUAAUUCCGUGCCAGCAGCCGCGGUAAUACGGAAGGUCCAAGCGUUAAUCGGAAUUACUGGGCGUAAAGCGCGCGUAGGUGGUUUAUUAAGUUGGAUGUGAAAUCCCCGGGCUCAACCUGGGAACUGCAUCCAAAACUGAUUCACUAGAGUACGAUAGAGGGAGGUAGAAUUCACAGUGUAGCGGUGGAAUGCGUAGAUAUUGUGAAGAAUACCAAUGGCGAAGGCAGCCUCCUGGAUCUGUACUGACACUGAGGUGCGAAAGCGUGGGUAGCGAACAGGAUUAGAUACCCUGGUAGUCCACGCCGUAAACGAUGUCAACUAGCUGUUGGGGAACUAUGUUCUUCAGUGGCGCAGCUAACGUAGUAAG
This 795-nucleotide ribosomal RNA is filed under the name gamma proteobacterium SCGC AAA076-A07. RNAcentral's name for it is "bacterial SSU rRNA". It matches the Rfam family "Bacterial small subunit ribosomal RNA", at positions 74 to 864 of the family's 1533-position model. The record is from RNAcentral. Lineage: Bacteria; Pseudomonadati; Pseudomonadota; Gammaproteobacteria.